RNAcentral lists this ribosomal RNA (497 nucleotides) under uncultured bacterium. RNAcentral describes it as "partial 16S ribosomal RNA". It matches the Rfam family "Bacterial small subunit ribosomal RNA", at positions 28 to 507 of the family's 1533-position model. The record is from RNAcentral.
GAUGAACGCUGGCGGCGUGCCUAAUACAUGCAAGUCGAGCGAACAGAUGAGGAGCUUGCUCCUCUGACGUUAGCGGCGGACGGGUGAGUAACACGUGGAUAACCUACCUAUAAGACUGGGAUAACUUCGGGAAACCGGAGCUAAUACCGUAUAAUAUAUUGAACCGCAUGGUUCAAUAGUGAAAGACGGUUUUGCUGUCACUUAUAGAUGGAUCCGCGCCGCAUUAGCUAGUUGGUAAGGUAACGGCUUACCAAGGCAACGAUGCGUAGCCGACCUGAGAGGGUGAUCGGCCACACUGGAACUGAGACACGGUCCAGACUCCUACGGGAGGCAGCAGUAGGGAAUCUUCCGCAAGGGGCGAAAGCCUGACGGAGCAACGCCGCGUGAGUGAUGAAGGUCUUCGGACCGUAAAACUCUGUUAUUAGGGAAGAACAAAUGUGUAAGUAACUAUGCACGUCUUGACGGUACCUAAUCAGAAAGCCACGGCUAACUACGUG